GACGAACGCUGGCGGCGUGCUUAACACAUGCAAGUCGAACGGUGAAGCGCCUUCCUUUUUGGUGGGUGUGGAUGAGUGGCGAACGGGUGAGUAACACGUGAGUAACCUGCCCCCUUCUUCUGGAUAACCGCAUGAAAGUGUGGCUAAUACGGGAUAUUCUGGGUCUGUCGCAUGAUGGGUCUGGGAAAGAUAUUGUUUCGGUGGGGGAUGGGCUCGCGGCCUAUCAGCUUGUUGGUGGGGUGAUGGCCUACCAAGGCGGUGACGGGUAGCCGGCCUGAGAGGGUUGGCCGUCACGAUGGGGAUGGAACCCCGGCCCGACUCCUACGGGGAGCAGCCGGGGGGAAUAGUUCAAAAUUGGCGGAAGGCUGGAGCCACGGCGCCGGGGGGAGGAAGGAGGCCUUCGGGUUGUGAACCUCUUUCGCCAGUGAAGCAGGCCUGCCUCGUUUGUGGGUGGGUUGACGGUAGCUGGAGAAGAAGCGCCGGCUAACUACGUG
RNAcentral lists this ribosomal RNA (494 nucleotides) under uncultured bacterium. RNAcentral's name for it is "partial 16S ribosomal RNA". It matches the Rfam family "Bacterial small subunit ribosomal RNA", at positions 28 to 507 of the family's 1533-position model. The record is from RNAcentral.